GGAAAGUGUGACCCCCAAGGAGAUCCAGGCUUCACCAAAAACAGAUAGUUGAACAUCGGCCUAACAACUCAACAAGCAUCACAUGGAAGACACCCUCAAGUCCUAACAGAGGAAAAUUUCACUUCCCUAAAAAAGAGGAACCGGAUAUGAGAAGGAAGUUAACCUUUUC
RNAcentral lists this long non-coding RNA (169 nucleotides) under Mustela putorius furo (domestic ferret). RNAcentral's name for it is "lncRNA (ENSMPUG00000028848.1)". Lineage: Eukaryota; Metazoa; Chordata; Mammalia; Carnivora; Mustelidae. The record is from RNAcentral.